Molecule: ribosomal RNA, 347 nt
Filed under: uncultured bacterium
Lineage: Bacteria
Description: partial 16S ribosomal RNA
Rfam family: Bacterial small subunit ribosomal RNA
Source: RNAcentral
CCUACGGGAGGCAGCAGUGAGGAAUAUUGGUCAAUGGCCGUAAGGCUGAACCAGCCAAGUAGCGUGAGGGAAGACUGCCCUAUGGGUUGUAAACCUCUUUUAUGCGGGGAUAAAGGUGUCCACGUGUGGAUGUUUGCAGGUACCGCAUGAAUAAGGACCGGCUAAUUCCGUGCCAGCAGCCGCGGUAAUACGGAGGGUCCGAGCGUUAUCCGGAUUUAUUGGGUUUAAAGGGAGCGUAGGCCGGUCUUUAAGCGUGCCGUGAAAUUUUGUGGCUCAACCAUGGGAGUGCAGCUGAAACUGGAGACCUAGAGGACGCGGAAGGCAGGAGGAAUUCGUGGUGUAGCGGU